Long non-coding RNA from Xiphophorus hellerii (green swordtail), 331 nucleotides. RefSeq lists it as uncharacterized. The record is from RefSeq and is a predicted model, not a curated record. The transcript has 4 exons. NCBI's taxonomy places the organism in Eukaryota, Metazoa, Chordata, Actinopteri, Cyprinodontiformes, Poeciliidae.
CAGGAUUUCUCAAACAUGCACAAAAGAGUCAAAGCAACACUCCAGGAAUUGUAUGAUGUAGGGAUGAAAAAAAACAACAAAAAAACCCAGUAUGAUGGAAGUUGAUCAAACACCGAGCCUAAGACGAGUCUCCGUAGGACGAUUACUGGAUUUCAUCGCGAGGUGUCGAAGAAUUACGAGGUGUCGCGUAGCAGUUUUCACACAGAGAACAGAGACCUCCAGUAGGGGGUUUUGAAAAUAACACAAUAUAUUUCUGCUGAUGAGCAAAGGUGAGCACUGAGUCAUGGCUUACCGUCCACAGGAACAUCAGAAACCACGCAGCUCUACCGAU